UAAGGAAAAAAAGAGAAGAUGAACAGCUACAAUUUUUAUUGAAGAAACCGACUGAUCGGUAUUACUCUCUUCCUACCCAAAUCUGUCAAUCAAUCGUGUUUAUCAUUGAACCCACCUCCUAGCUAAGCAGAGAUUUCCGGAAACAAUAUAGAUUAGGAAAGAAGAGAUUUGUAUGUGAACAACAAACAUUUAAUUUGUAAGGACAGUUAACAUGUAGUUUCGCAAUAUCACCAUUAAACGUGUUGAUCUUUGCAAGACGGAGCAAGCAAGUAACAAUUUGGUUCCCAGCUUGUUCACACGCAGACCACAUGGUAUCCGCAAAUCUUCCCCAUAAGAUCCAAAUACCAAUCAUCUGAUAGUGAAGGAGAACGGCUAAUGAUUGUGUUGUUUGUUAGGGACAUCUUAAAUGCAUGAUUUGUUGCCCUGUACUUUCCCAUGGAUUUAGUCAGCUGGAAAUUCUCGAUGAUUCUCCACUCUCCCGCAACAAUCAUACGGAAAAACUUGUUAAUCUGGUUUUUCUUUAUAGUUGCAUGGAUCAGAGUUCCCUAUUAAAAGGAAACAUAAUCAGUUAUUAUAUGUUUUGUAAACAUAAAUAAAUAGAAUGAGUAGUAUCUUUGUAAUAUACUUACAUCAACAUCAGCGAGUAUGACAAUCUUGACUUGGAUCUUCCAAGUCGUCUUGAAGGGCUUAAUGUCA
Camelina sativa (false flax) is the source of this 696-nucleotide long non-coding RNA. RefSeq lists it as uncharacterized. The record is from RefSeq and is a predicted model, not a curated record. NCBI's taxonomy places the organism in Eukaryota, Viridiplantae, Streptophyta, Magnoliopsida, Brassicales, Brassicaceae.